UAGCGCAGAGGUAAGCGUGUCCGCCUGUGACGCUGAACGCCUGGGUUCGAAUCCUGG
Stomoxys calcitrans (stable fly) is the source of this 57-nucleotide non-coding RNA. NCBI's taxonomy places the organism in Eukaryota, Metazoa, Arthropoda, Insecta, Diptera, Muscidae. The record is from Rfam.